This 244-nucleotide ribosomal RNA is filed under the name uncultured bacterium. Its description in RNAcentral is "partial 16S ribosomal RNA". It matches the Rfam family "Bacterial small subunit ribosomal RNA", at positions 524 to 767 of the family's 1533-position model. The record is from RNAcentral.
GACAGAGGAUGCAAGCGUUAUCCGGAAUGAUUGGGCGUAAAGCGUCUGUAGGUGGCUUUUUAAGUCCGCCGUCAAAUCCCAGGGCUCAACCCUGGACAGGCGGUGGAAACUACCAAGCUGGAGUACGGUAGGGGCAGAGGGAAUUUCCAGUGGAGCGGUGAAAUGCGUAGAGAUUGGAAAGAACACCAAUGGCGAAAGCACUUUACUGGGCUAUUACUGACACUGAGAGACGAAAGCUAGGGUA